GACGAACGCUGGCGGCGUGCUUAACACAUGCAAGUCGAACGGAAAGGCCCUGCUUUUGUGGGGUGCUCGAGUGGCGAACGGGUGAGUAACACGUGAGUAACCUGCCCUUGACUUUGGGAUAACUUCAGGAAACUGGGGCUAAUACCGGAUAGCAGCUCCUGCUGCAUGGUGGGGGUUGGAAAGUUUCGGCGGUUGGGGAUGGACUCGCGGCUUAUCAGCUUGUUGGUGGGGUAGUGGCUUACCAAGGCUUUGACGGGUAGCCGGCCUGAGAGGGUGACCGGGCACAUGGGGAGUAUGAUGCGGCAGAGGCUGAUGAGGGAGGCAGCAGGGGGGAGGGGGGGAGAAUGGGCGGAAGCCGGAUGCAGGAUCGCGGCGGGGGGGAAGCGGGCCUUAGGGUAGGAAACCGCGAACGCCGGUGACGAUGCGUGCGAGACUGUAAUGGGAAGAGAAACAAAGGCUGACUGCGU
This 467-nucleotide ribosomal RNA is filed under the name uncultured bacterium. RNAcentral describes it as "partial 16S ribosomal RNA". It matches the Rfam family "Bacterial small subunit ribosomal RNA", at positions 28 to 506 of the family's 1533-position model. The record is from RNAcentral.